CAAGACUUGACAUCUCCUGAAUAGCCUAGAGAUAGGUGAAGCCCUUCGGGGCAGGAAGACAGGUGGUGCAUGGUUGUCGUCAGCUCGUGUCGUGAGAUGUUGGGUUAAGUCCCGCAACGAGCGCAACCCCUGUCGUUAGUUGCCAUCAUUAAGUUGGGCACUCUAGCGAGACUGCCGAGGUUAACUCGGAGGAAGGUGGGGAUGACGUCAAAUCAUCAUGCCCCUUAUGUCUUGGGCUACACACGUGCUACAAUGGCCGGUACAGAAAGAAGCGAACCCGUGAGGGGGAGCAAAUCUCAAAAACCGGUCCCAGUUCGGAUUGUAGGCUGCAACUCGCCUACAUGAAGCCGGAGUUGCUAGUAAUCGCGGAUCAGCAUGCCGCGGUGAAUACGUUCCC
RNAcentral lists this ribosomal RNA (397 nucleotides) under uncultured bacterium. RNAcentral's name for it is "bacterial SSU rRNA". It matches the Rfam family "Bacterial small subunit ribosomal RNA", at positions 975 to 1375 of the family's 1533-position model. The record is from RNAcentral.